ACUCUCGGCAACGGAUAUCUCGGCUCUCGCAUCGAUGAAGAACGUAGCGAACUGCGAUACUUGGUGUGAAUUGCAGAAUCCCGUGAACCAUCGAGUCUUUGAACGCAAGUUGCGCCCGAAGCCAUUAGGCUGAGGGCACGUCUGCCUGGGCGUCACGC
Molecule: ribosomal RNA, 158 nt
Filed under: Gentiana nivalis
Lineage: Eukaryota; Viridiplantae; Streptophyta; Magnoliopsida; Gentianales; Gentianaceae
Also listed under: 4 other names
Description: 5.8S ribosomal RNA
Rfam family: 5.8S ribosomal RNA
About the family: 5.8S ribosomal RNA (5.8S rRNA) is a component of the large subunit of the eukaryotic ribosome. It is transcribed by RNA polymerase I as part of the 45S precursor that also contains 18S and 28S rRNA. Functionally, it is thought that 5.8S rRNA may be involved in ribosome translocation.
Source: RNAcentral